Molecule: ribosomal RNA, 200 nt
Filed under: uncultured bacterium
Lineage: Bacteria
Description: partial 16S ribosomal RNA
Rfam family: Bacterial small subunit ribosomal RNA
Source: RNAcentral
GAUGAACGCUAGCGGCAGGCCUAAUACAUGCAAGGCUAGGGGGCAGCAAUGUCACCGUCGAACGGGUGCGUAACGCGUAUGCAACCUACCUAUCACUGGGGGAUAGCCCGGGGAAACCCGGAUUAAUACCGCAUGAUACAUAGAGAAUACCUAUUUUUUAUGUUAAAGAUUUAUCGGUGGUAGAUGGGCAUGCGUCUGAU